Molecule: ribosomal RNA, 425 nt
Filed under: uncultured bacterium
Lineage: Bacteria
Description: bacterial SSU rRNA
Rfam family: Bacterial small subunit ribosomal RNA
Source: RNAcentral
GGGGAAUUUUGGACAAUGGGCGCAAGCCUGAUCCAGCAAUGCCGCGUGAGUGAAGAAGGCCUUCGGGUUGUAAAGCUCUUUCAGUUGAAAAGAAAAAGCCGUGACUAAUAAUCAUGGUUCAUGACGGUAUCAACAGAAGAAGCACCGGCUAACUACGUGCCAGCAGCCGCGGUAAUACGUAGGGUGCAAGCGUUAAUCGGAAUUACUGGGCGUAAAGGGUGCGCAGGCGGUUCUGUAAGUCAGAUGUGAAAUCCCCGGGCUUAACCUGGGAACUGCGUUUGAAACUGCAGAGCUAGAGUGCGGCAGAGGGAGGUGGAAUUCCAUGUGUAGCAGUGAAAUGCGUAGAGAUAUGGAAGAACAUCGAUGGCGAAGGCAACCUCCUGGGCUAGCACUGACGCUCAUGCACGAAAGCGUGGGGAGCAAAC